This 943-nucleotide long non-coding RNA is filed under the name Nicotiana benthamiana. Its description in RNAcentral is "long non-coding RNA (NBEN_LNC003849)". Lineage: Eukaryota; Viridiplantae; Streptophyta; Magnoliopsida; Solanales; Solanaceae. The record is from RNAcentral.
CUAACCGUGCUUAAUCUUGAGGUUGUGUUAGUGAGCGCAUAACUAAAAUAAAUCCUUUACCUAAUAAUUUACUUGCUUACCUAAGAGGGGCUGUUCUCGCGAUUGAUUGAAGUAUGCUUGCUUCUCUGCUAAAUGAUAAUGUGGGUGGAUUCGAGGACCUCCUUUUCUGAAGUGAAAGAAGGGACAUCCACCAUCAUGAAUCCCCUCCUAGUAGAGGCGAGUGCAGGUCCUGACUAGGUUUUAGUCUCUAUUCUUUCUCGUUUCGGGUAUACUUACGAGCUAGGAUAUCUUGGAAAGUCUAACUCGGGACCAUCUGACCGGACUACCAAGCUUGACUAUCAAGCCGUUAUCUUUCAUUUAGUCAAUACCAGUGCCCGCUAAAAGCUAAGAGGGGCUGUUCUCGCGAUUGAUUAAAGUAUGCUUGCUUCUCUGCUAAUGAUAAUGUGGGUGGAUUCGAGGACCUCCUUUUCUGAAGUGAAAGAAGGGACAUCCACCAUCAUGAAUCCCCUCCUAGUAGAGGCGAGUGCAGGUCCUGACUAGGUUUUAGUCUCUAUUCUUUCUCGUUUCGGGUAUACUUACGAGCUAGGAUAUCUUGGAAAGUCUAACUCGGGACCAUCUGACCCCUGUCCUGACUAGGGUUUAGUCUCUAUUCUUUCUCGUCUCGGGUAUACUUACGAGCUAGGAUAUCUUGGAAAGUCUAACUCGGGACCAUAUGACCGGGCUACCAAGCUUGACUAUCAAGCCGUUAUCUUUCAUUUAGUCAAUACCAGUUCCCGCUAAAAAGCUUAGCUUACAGUGGUGCUUGAAUAAGGGGAAUCCGAUAUUGAAUAGAGUGCUGCAACAAAUUGUCAUUGUUCAUUUUCAUUUGCUUUGUUCUCUUUGACUGAUCAAAAAAUUCAGAAAGACUUGUCGGAAAUCAGAAAUCAGCGGUUGGCGUAGGGCU